Molecule: long non-coding RNA, 1255 nt
Organism: Schistocerca nitens (vagrant locust)
Lineage: Eukaryota; Metazoa; Arthropoda; Insecta; Orthoptera; Acrididae
Exons: 3
Source: RefSeq, a predicted model, not a curated record
GUGGAAGACCGUCUUCUCAGCGAUAAGACCUAGACCAGACGGUCUUAUAAGGGGUGCAAACAGCAGCUCUGGCACAGUCGGAGUCGAUUGGUCGGGCACUACCCAGCAGGACUUUCGUAGAGUGAGACUUGGGUCUGUUUGGAUUGUACCCAUACCUAACCAGCCGUCAAUCAAGCAGCACCUCCUGUCAGUCGGUGGCCUGUCAGUUUUCCGUCUGUCCAGUCGGGAGUAGAGAACGCCAGCUUCACACCCCACAGCAGAAACCACGCGACGGUCACAUCCUCUGGACAUUAGCAGUCGCGAGGGCGACCAACCAGCGACUACGCAGAGACAGCGCAAAUACAUCCGUGAGGCCGAAGCUCCCAGCUGAAAGAUGGCGGAGUUCUGGCAGCAGGUCGGGCAGUUCCUCUUGAAUGAGGUGAUGAACGAUAUGGCGGAAUGUGCGUUCCGGAGCAUGGACGCCGACCAGGCCCGGGUGUGCAGGCUGCUCUGGAAACUCAGGGCUACGGUCACCAGGAUAACUUUUACCGGGAAGCAGAUCGAAUUCUUCUUUAAAGAGUUGUCUCGUUUCCUAGAAAACGACGAGGCCGACUUGGAGCAGGGACUCCAGAUGAUCGUCCGGUCUGUGAUGGUGGCGAGAAAUAUUUUUGAGGGCUACGAAGAGGUUCAGGACCUGAUAGAUGAAAUUAAGCGAGAGUGGGACCGUUACAAAGCUAGAAACAUGCGUAAGUGGGAUUAGUGAAAACUAAAAUCUUAGUGCUCAUUUAAUAAAAACUCUAUUCGUUCCCUAGUUUAUUAUUUAAUUUGAAAUCUGUGUCAAUGGAAGCUGAAUAUAAACAAAAAAAAUUGAGGAACUAACUUUUUUUGCAUACAGUGCUUGUUUAUAGUGGCAACGUGGAAGCAACAUGAAAUAUUCAUGCUCCAAAACACUGCAGUAACAACUUCACAAAUUAGUAAUUAUCAAAAUUUCAAUCUUUGUUUGCAACACCUUUUUUGAGGAUCAUGAAUCAUGUUGAUCGAUGUAAUUAAGGAGCAGAAAAACUACAAUGCAGAGAACAUUCUCCACGUACAGUCCCUGAAUUGAUUUAAAAGGAAACAACACUCUUGUUAUUCCAGUAAUUUGGCUAAGACCUAAAUGAGUGAAACGUGUAUAUAAAUGAAAAAUUAACAAAAAGUCAUGUCUUUUGAAAUAUGGCUUUCAUAUUUGCAAUAAUGUCUAGAAGACAACAUGAAAGCAUAAACCACAUUCGUUCUA